Capsicum annuum is the source of this 721-nucleotide long non-coding RNA. RefSeq lists it as uncharacterized. Lineage: Eukaryota; Viridiplantae; Streptophyta; Magnoliopsida; Solanales; Solanaceae. The transcript has 9 exons. The record is from RefSeq and is a predicted model, not a curated record.
GGAGGCAAAGAGUGCAUUCAAAACUCUUUUGGAAUAUGCAAAUAUUAGGUUUGAUUGCACGUGGGAUCAGGCCAUGAGAGCAGUAAUUAAUGAACGGAGAUAUGGUGCUCUAAAAUCCCUUGGUGAGCGGAAGCAAGCUUUUAAUGAGUAUCUGAGCUAAAAGAAAAAACUGGAAGUUGAAGAGAGGCGUGUUAAACAGAAAAAAGCUCGGGAAGAUUUCAGGAUAAUGUUAGAAGAUUGCAAGGAGCUGUCACCAUCGUCAAGAUGGAGUAAGGCAAUCUCCAUAUUCUAACAUGAUGAACGUUUUAAAGCUGUUGAGUGAGCUAAAGACCGUGAGGACCUUUUUGAAGAUUAUGUGGAGGAACUUGAGAAAAAGAUUUUAUAGGAGCAUGUGAAGGCAUUGGAGGAACAGAAGCGCAAUAGAGUGGAGUACUUAGAAUUUUUAAAAGCCUGUGACUUUAUUAAGGCCAGUAGCCAGUGGCGGAAAAUUCAGGACCACUUGGAAACUGAUGAAAGAUGCUCCCGCCUUGAGAAAAUCGAUCGCUUGGAGAUUUUCCAGGAAUAUAUACGUGAUUUAGAGAGCGAAGAGGAGGAGCAAAGGAAACUGCGGAUGCAAGAAUUGAGGAAAGCUGAACGUAAAAAUCAUGAUGAGUUCCGAAAACUGAUGGAAGAGCAUGUUGCUGUGGGAAUACUUAAUGCAAAAACUAACUAGCGUGAUUAU